This 292-nucleotide ribosomal RNA is filed under the name uncultured bacterium. RNAcentral describes it as "partial 16S ribosomal RNA". RNAcentral also lists the same sequence under 1 other name. The record is from RNAcentral.
GGACUACAGGGGUAUCUAAUCCUGUUUGCUCCCCACGCUUUCGUGCAUGAGCGUCAGUGUCAUCCCAGGGGGCUGCCUUCGCCAUUGGUGUUCCUCCACAUCUCUACGCAUUUCACUGCUACACGUGGAAUUCCACCCCCCUCUGACACACUCUAGCCCCGUAGUUUCAAAUGCAGUUCCCAGGUUGAGCCCGGGGAUUUCACAUCUGACUUGCGGAACCGCCUGCGCACGCUUUACGCCCAGUAAUUCCGAUUAACGCUUGCACCCUACGUAUUACCGCGGCUGCUGGCAC